CCUACGGGUGGCUGCAGUGGGGAAUAUUGGACAAUGGGCGAAAGCCUGAUCCAGCCAUGCCGCGUGUGUGAAGAAGGCCUUCGGGUUGUAAAGCACUUUCAGUGGGGAAGAAAGCCUUGGGGCUAAUACCCUCGAGGAAGGACAUCACCCACAGAAGAAGCACCGGCUAACUCCGUGCCAGCAGCCGCGGUAAUACGGAGGGUGCGAGCGUUAAUCGGAAUUACUGGGCGUAAAGCGCGCGUAGGCGGUCUGAUAAGCCGGUUGUGAAAGCCCCGGGCUUAACCUGGGAACGGCAUCCGGAACUGUCAGGCUAGAGUGCAGGAGAGGAAGGUAGAAUUCCCGGUGUAGCGGUGAAAUGCGUAGAGAUCGGGAGGAAUACCAGUGGCGAAGGCGGCCUUCUGGACUGACACUGACGCUGAGGUGCGAAAGCGUGGGUAGCAAACAGGAUUAGAUACCCUGGUAGUC
Molecule: ribosomal RNA, 465 nt
Filed under: Vreelandella stevensii
Lineage: Bacteria; Pseudomonadati; Pseudomonadota; Gammaproteobacteria; Oceanospirillales; Halomonadaceae
Description: partial 16S ribosomal RNA
Rfam family: Bacterial small subunit ribosomal RNA
Source: RNAcentral